Long non-coding RNA from Numida meleagris (helmeted guineafowl), 1777 nucleotides. The record is from Ensembl. Lineage: Eukaryota; Metazoa; Chordata; Aves; Galliformes; Numididae.
UUUUAAAUAUAAAUAUGAGACUGAGUGAUAAUGAAAUGAAAUGACUACAAAGUAAGUUGUUGUCAUGGUUUUAUGAUUUUCGGUUAUUGGUACUCUACAUCAUAACAUCAUGUAGUGAAUGUACCUGGUUCUCAGAAGAGGACUACUACAUUCCCCACGGUACUUUGCUCCUCUGUUACCAUUUUCCAGCCGGAGGGAAAAGAUAAAAGCUCGCAGUAUAAAAACUUGCAGAUCACGAGACCUCAGCCCUUUUUCCGCCCGUCUCUCGUCUUGGCAGCACCUCGCUCUCCAGCCGUCUUAUCGUCGGUAGUAGAGUAAGGCCUACCUUGAUUUUGGGACAUUCUCUCUCUCCCUAUUGGAUUUAUCAGCUUAAAUUGUAAUUAUAUUGUAUUAUAGUGUGUUGUUUUGCAUUCCGAUAUUUUAUUUAGUAAAUUAGUUUGUUUCUCCUCAGAUUGUUGCCGCUGUUCUUUGCUCUCAAGGCCAUCUCCUUACCCUUUUCCCCUUUUCCCUUUUCCCAGGGCGUGGACCCGUGGAUCCCCCGUCCCCUUCGUCACAGAACUGGGCCGAAUGCCCGUAAACCUUUUGACAGUGUGUACUUUCAUGUAGCUAAUUUAUAUCUCUUGCAGGAAACAUUUUUUCAAGGUUUACACUGGAUCGUCAUCAUAGAAGUAAGAUUUGAGUUUUUCACAGGCUUGUCUCACUACAGAAAGAACAGAAAUCAGUACGAUAAACUGUUUGUAUUUUAUGAUAAGAUAAAGACCUUUCCCCAAGAUUAUCAGUUCUCAGAAGAUAAAUUCCUUAUAGGAGAGACACAUGGUUUUCAAUGUAUUGAACAGAAUACUUAAGGUUGUCUGGAGAAACUUCAUGUUUAAUUUCUUCUCCUGACCAGGGAGCAAUUCUGUAAAUCUUCCUACAGAUCACCUGGAUUCUUCUGCUGUCUCCUGCUCUGAGAGCUAGCAGCCCAGCACCUCUGCUGUCUCCAACUGUCUGAUUUUCCAGCCGAAAUUCAUCAUCUGUGCUCAGCUGAGGUGGAUGCAGGUUGUCAUGAAAGAAAAGAUCAGUGCAACAUUUGGGAACCAUUCAGGUGUAUAUUUUUAAAUUCAGUCUCUCUUUCAGGACUGAUGUAUUCCUUCUGAUUACAUUAGUGAUAUAAGUGUUCCUGUACAUCCUUACCCAUUUUCACCUAUCAUGUACUUCUUUCUCCCCACUUCCCCCAUUACCCAUAUUCUAGUAGGAGCUUACUGUUAGAUUGCUCCUUCUGGGACCUAGUUGUUGACUUCUAUCUCAUUUAGUCAUUGUCUAAACAAUGAAACUAGUUGCCAAACUUAAAUGGUGGCACUGAGCAUGUUGUGUAUGCCACUUUGACUGCUCAGGGAACAGAACAAGUCAGCUGAGCCCAGCAAAUCCUUUUCUCUCAGGUAUGUGCUACCCUCUUCCUAUGGAUGCUACCUGCUAUUUCUUGUGAAUUGAUGAACUUCCCAGAUUCAUUUUUUAAACAUGACUGUUAAUGAAACCAUGAUUAUUGUCAACACCAUAAAACAAAUACAAAACAAAAGCCUGCUGAAAAAAAACCAGGGAAAAUACAAAGCAUAAUGGCGUCUCCAGAAAAGUGACUUGCUUAGUUAAUAGGGCUAAGACAGCAUCAUCUAAGACCACACCAUUAUUAGCAGUGUGCACUCUUUGGAUAAGUUUGGAGGGAAAAGCUAUACCAGUUCUCACUUCACAAUAGUGUUUUGCUGAGAAUAAACAAUCAACAACAAAAAAAAUCUAACUUAAG